Molecule: ribosomal RNA, 495 nt
Filed under: uncultured bacterium
Lineage: Bacteria
Description: bacterial SSU rRNA
Rfam family: Bacterial small subunit ribosomal RNA
Source: RNAcentral
UCAGGACGAACGCUGGCGGCGUGCUUAACACAGUGCAAGUCGAACGGGGGUAUAUUGGAAGGUUCGGCCUGGAAGGUGAUAUCGAGUGGCGGACGGGUGAGUAACGCGUGAGCAAUCUGUCCCAGACAGGGGGAUAACACUUGGAAACAGGUGCUAAUACCGCAUAAGACCACGGCAUCACAUGGUGCAGGGGUAAAAGGAGCAAUCCGGUUUGGGGUGAGCUCGCGUCCGAUUAGCCAGUUGCGGGGUAACGGCCCACCAAAGCGACGAUCGGUAGCCGAUCUGAGAGGAUGACCGGCCACAUUGGAACUGAGAGACGGUCCAAACUCCUACGGGAGGCAGCAGUGGGGAAUAUUGGGCAAUGGGCGAAAGCCCUGACCCAGCAACGCCGCGUGAGUGAAGAAGGCUUUCGGGUUGUAAAGCUCUGUUAUAGGUGACGAAGGAAGUGACGGUAGCCUAUAAGGAAGCCCCGGCUAACUACGUGCCAGCCGCCGC